AUUGAACGCUGGCGGCAGGCUUAACACAUGCAAGUCGAGCGGGGGGAUGGUGCUUGCACUAUCACUUAGCGGCGGACGGGUGAGUAAUGCUUAGGAAUCUGCCUAUUAGUGGGGGACAACAUCUCGAAAGGGAUGCUAAUACCGCAUACGUCCUACGGGAGAAAGCAGGGGAUCACUUGUGACCUUGCGCUAAUAGAUGAGCCUAAGUCGGAUUAGCUAGUUGGUGGGGUAAAGGCCUACCAAGGCGACGAUCUGUAGCGGGUCUGAGAGGAUGAUCCGCCACACUGGGACUGAGAAACGGCCCAGACUCCUACGGGAGGCAGCAGUGGGGAAUAUUGGACAAUGGGGGGAACCCUGAUCCAGCCAUGCCGGGUGUGUGAAGAAGGCCUUAUGGUUGUAAAGCACUUUAAGCGAGGAGGAGGCUCUUUUGGUUAAUACCCAAGAUGAGUGGACGUUACUCGCAGAAUAAGCACCGGCUAACUCUGUGCCAGCAGCAGCCGUAA
RNAcentral lists this ribosomal RNA (503 nucleotides) under uncultured bacterium. RNAcentral's name for it is "partial 16S ribosomal RNA". It matches the Rfam family "Bacterial small subunit ribosomal RNA", at positions 30 to 523 of the family's 1533-position model. The record is from RNAcentral.